UCCUCAACUAUAGAAGUCAAAGUGACUUGGUCAAAUCUGUACUAGCCGGCUCAUGCGAUGUGAGCUUUGAAUCCACAGUGCAAGUUUAAUAUCAGGAGAAUAUUCAUGUAAUCUUCUAUUUGUUCAUGAGUAGAAGUUUUCUUAUCCAAAAUGGGUUGGUGAGGAUGAUCAAAAGCUGGCUGAAGGAAUUAGUCUGUUUUCUAUCGCUUUGGAGAACCGUGAAAAACCUGCUAUCCUUGGAGAACUCAUUAAGGAACACGCACGCUAAAGGUGGUAAGUGCAUUGUGUUCACGCAAACAAAAAGGGAUGCUGAUAGAUUGUCAUAAAGCAUGAGUUGAAGUUUCCAGUGUGAAGCUCUUCAUGGGGACAUCUCACAAGCCCAAAGAGAGAGAACGCUGGCAGGCUUUUCGUGAUGGACGGUUUAAUAUUUUGAUUGCCACUGAUGUUGCUGCCCGUGGUUAAUAUAUACCAUGGAUCAAUUACAGGCUCGACGCCACGACACCAGAGAGAUUAAAAGUGCUGUAUAAGCUUCCCUCCAUUUUGCUUGGAUCCAUUGGUGUUCUUUUUUCAUGUUCAAAUUCACUCUUAAAUCUUAAUUUCCUUUGGAUCGAUCGAUAUUUCAUUUUAUUUUAGCAACCAAUCACUCCAAUGUUGGAUCGAUUUUCCUUUUCUUUCCAACUUUGAUUGCUACAUACAUAUACUUUUUUCACUUGAAGGGCUAAACUUUAUAAAUUUUGAUCAACAUUUUGGUCAAAUUUUAUACAUGACUAGUGUAUAAAUUGCCAAUAUUAUAUGAA
This is a long non-coding RNA of Panicum hallii, 797 nucleotides long. RefSeq lists it as uncharacterized. The record is from RefSeq and is a predicted model, not a curated record. NCBI's taxonomy places the organism in Eukaryota, Viridiplantae, Streptophyta, Magnoliopsida, Poales, Poaceae. The transcript is spliced from 3 exons.